Molecule: ribosomal RNA, 258 nt
Filed under: uncultured Lactobacillus sp.
Lineage: Bacteria; Bacillati; Bacillota; Bacilli; Lactobacillales; Lactobacillaceae
Description: partial 16S ribosomal RNA
Rfam family: Bacterial small subunit ribosomal RNA
Source: RNAcentral
UGAGUAACGCGUGGGUAACCUGCCCUUAAGUCUGGGAUACCAUUUGGAAACAGAUGCUAAUACCGGAUAAAAGCUACUUUCGCAUGAAAGAAGCUUAAAAGGCGGCGUAAGCUGUCGCUAAAGGAUGGACCUGCGAUGCAUUAGCUAGUUGGUAAGGUAACGGCUUACCAAGGCGAUGAUGCAUAGCCGAGUUGAGAGACUGAUCCGGCCACAGUUGGGACUUAGACACGGCCCAAACUCCUACGGGAGGCAGCAGUG